This 211-nucleotide ribosomal RNA is filed under the name uncultured bacterium. RNAcentral's name for it is "partial 16S ribosomal RNA". It matches the Rfam family "Bacterial small subunit ribosomal RNA", at positions 524 to 734 of the family's 1533-position model. The record is from RNAcentral.
UACAGAGGUCUCAAGCGUUGUUCGGAUUCAUUGGGCGUAAAGGGUGCGUAGGCGGCGCGGUAAGUCGGGUGUGAAAUCUCGGGGCUUAACUCCGAAACUGCAUUCGAUACUGCCGUGCUUGAGGACUGGAGAGGAGACUGGAAUUUACGGUGUAGCGGUGAAAUGCGUAGAUAUCGUAAGGAAGACCAGUGGCGAAGGCGAGUUCCUGGAC